This 440-nucleotide ribosomal RNA is filed under the name uncultured bacterium. Its description in RNAcentral is "partial 16S ribosomal RNA". It matches the Rfam family "Bacterial small subunit ribosomal RNA", at positions 338 to 795 of the family's 1533-position model. The record is from RNAcentral.
CCUACGGGAGGCAGCAGUGGGGAAUAUUGCACAAUGGGGGAAACCCUGAUGCAGCGACGCCGCGUGAGCGAUGAAGUAUUUCGUUAUGUAAAGCUCUAUCAGCAGGGAAGAAAAUGACGGUACCUGACUAAGAAGCCCCGGCUAACUACGUGCCAGCAGCCGCGGUAAUACGUAGGGGGCAAGCGUUAUCCGGAUUUACUGGGUGUAAAGGGAGCGUAGACGGCAUGGCAAGCCAGAUGUGAAAUACCGGGGCUCAACCCCGGGACUGCAUUGGGAACUGUUAAGCUGGAGUGUCGGAGAGGCAGGCGGAAUGCCUAGUGUAGCGGUGAAAUGCGUAGAUAUGGCGCAGAACGCCGAUUGCGAAGGCAGCAUGCCGGCUCCAAACUGACGCUGAGGCACGAAAGCGUGGGUAGCGAACAGGAUUAGAUACCCUAGUAGUC